CUUAAAUCAUUGACAGACAAAUACAUGUAUACUUGUUAUCAUAUGACUUUUGUAAGGAAAUCAAGGAGUCCUUAAAUAUUGAAUAUGUUAAACGUAUAUGACAAACUCAUCAAAACUUCCAAUUGUAAGUCAUUUGGGUAUAAUAAUUUGAAUAGAUUUUUUUAGAUGAAACACUACCUAAUCGGGCCCGGCUAGAAAAGAUCAUACUGGAAAGUAGUACAUGUUUAAAACAAAACAGUUCCUACGCAUAAAGGUAAAUAUGAAAUUGUAUAGCAUAUAUUUUUAGUAAAUAGGGUAUCAAAUGAAAGCUGAAGUACUUGUGAUCCUGGUAGAAUACACAACUUACUGAUAAUUUUGAAUAAUACAAAAUUGUAUAAAUGAAUUCAAAAGUUGAGGGCACUUAUGUUAAUAUAAAAAAAUAGUCUGCUAUUAUCUUACUACAAACUUAACAAUUUUUAAAGGGUAGUUUGAAAAUAAAUUGAAUUUUUAUUAAAUAUACAUUCUUUAUGAUAUCAUGGUGUUUUAAUUCGAUAGUGCAUUACAGUGAGUUGUUUAUAAAAUAUUGUAUUUUGUGCAUUACUACAUCAAUAGAUUAAAUCAUUUGUUUCAAUUUUGUACUCAUAUAGGAAUAACAACACCAUUGCUACAUGGCUCAAUUUGACA
Molecule: long non-coding RNA, 663 nt
Filed under: Mytilus galloprovincialis (Mediterranean mussel)
Lineage: Eukaryota; Metazoa; Mollusca; Bivalvia; Mytilida; Mytilidae
Source: RNAcentral